UGUCAUCCUUUUGUGCUGACAUGACACAUUUAUUACAUAAAAAUGACGCCCACGUCAAAGGUGCCACGUCAGUUAACAGAUAAAAAGGGUGACAAAAAUACACUAAAAUUGAGUUUGGUGUAAUAGGACCCCUGCGAAGUUGGAGUGUGUCGUAGAAAAUUUGGACAUAGUUCAGGGUUACUGGAUGGUUUACUCAAACAUAUGAACGUAUUACCAUGUCCAGUUUGCAACUUUAAGACUUUCAAGCUUUCUUCAAUGCCAUCGAUCUUGCGCGUAGAUUCAAAAAAAUUCCCCUAUACAAACACAAAACGCGAAAGGAUGUAUCAAUGAUAUUGUGAAAUCAUUGAGCUAAUUCGAUGAAGUUUGAACAUAUCGGGACCAGUAUAACAAGUUAAGUAACAAUGUAGCAUACCAGCAACAUGCCACAAUGCUGUGAAAGAUAACUCGAAACUGAAGUGGCACAUACUGGUGAUUAAUCCAACCAACAACGGGCCAGAACUGCGUAGUUAGGAAUGAUUGAUACAGCUAUGAUUCAGUAUAGAAUGUGAAUAACGAAGUUCGGUUUUGAAGAAAGAAGGGGAAGUUAACAAACCGUCCAAGACGUAUACUGCACUUUUGGAUAUUCCUUCUUGAUAUUAGACUUCACCUGGAUCCAAGGUCUACCUGCAGUACAUAACAGAGAAUCCAUCAGCCCAAAGCUUUGUUGUGUGUACAUAUGAUUGUACUUUUUGUUUCCUGUUUUCUUCAUUGUGAAUAUAAGUAACAGAUAGUUUUUGCAGUCUUGAUUUUUCGUAGGGCUAUGCACGUAGGAUGGAGUUUCGUGCGAGUGACUCAUAGCUAGUAGAUAGGAUUUCUUUGGUGUAGCCAUGAUAGUAGUCAUCGGGCUAUGCAUGUGGGUUGGAGUUUCAUGCAAAGAGUUGUAGCUAGUAGGUAGGAUUGCUUUGGUGUAGCCAUGCUAGUAGUCAUAGGGCUAUGCACACAGGUUGGAGUUUCGUGCGAGUGAGUCGUAGCUGGUAGGUAGGAUUGCUUUGGUGUAGCCAUGCUAGUAGUCAUAGGGCUAUGCGCGUAGGUUGGAGUUUCUUGUUCGGAAGGUUUGGGUGAGGUGUCUGUUUUCGGUUAAAUAGUGUAUAGUACUACUAUGUAGGUGUCUUAUUUCAGUUAUUUCAUCUUGUUUCAUGUUUUCUUACGGCUUUGUUUACUGUCUUUUUAUUCUGAGAAGGGGGUCUAUAGGAAACAACCUCUCUACUUCUUCGGAGGUAGUGUAUGGACUGCGUACACUUUACCCUCCUCAGACCCCACUAUGUGGAAACACACUGGGUAUAUGUUGUUGUUGUUGUUGUUGUUGUUGUGUUGAUUUUUCGUAACAUAUAAAAGAUGUAGUUUUUCAGUGCAUUUGACUUCUUAAGAAACAAAAAUCGAAUUGGGAUAAUACGUAAACAGACACUCAAACUUGAUCUCAUCUAGAAAGUAAGCACUCCGACUUUGAGAAAGCACACUUGCGACACCUCAACUUUCGUCUCCACUAUGUGGUUGAACACUCAAACUUACAAAAUGAAUCUAGACACCUCCGAAAGUUAUGUGCUACUUCAUCAUCGAGUAUCCAUGAGACCUAUGUUGCUUGGACUCUUCACUCUCAAUGCCGCACCCGUGCCGGAUCCUUCAAAACUGCACUACUUUUGAAGGAUCCGACACGCGCCAGUCAAUACUUUUGAAGAGUCUGAGCAACAUAGUAUGAGACAGAGUGGGGACGAGUUGGAGUGUUUAGCUGUCGGUUGAGACAAAGUCGAAACGUCUAAAUUUGCAUUCUCAAAGUUUGAUCUUUUACGUGCUGGCUGAGUCCAAGUUUGAGCCAGAAGCACCAUCUAGUCUGUGAAAUAGUCAAGUUGCAAAGAUGAAAUACAGUUGUAGCUUAGGAUAAAACUCACUUUCAAUAACUAACCCAUAGUAAAUCAUGAAAAGCAAGUUAUUCCAAGGCGAAGAUGUCACUUGUUCGAUAACCACCUGAAACAAUCAAAACGAACAACUAAUCUGGUCAUCGAUCUUUCAGAGUUAUCUCCAACUGGAAAUACUGUGUGACAAAAGGAUGCCAAUGGUAGAAUAUCAUGUGGGACUUUAUCAUAUUUUACACGUGUCAUACAUGUUCCUUCUAUUUCUCCAAGUAAAGUUCUUUGCAUUGCAAUGCCUAUUGUGUUGGUUUGGCCUUUCAUAAGUGGAGACAGAAUAAAGCAUCCAUAAUAAAGGCGUUUACUGUUACCAACGAAGAAGAAGGAUUUCCGUUACCUUUUUUGCAACAAUUGUUGUGUCUUUCUUCCCCUUGAAAAGUUUGUCGAGCAAUAAGUGAAGAAAAUGUCCGAAUGGUCCAAGAUAGGCAAAACCGAAAAGCUGCAUGUAGUUAUGUUAGCAGCCAGUGAUAAUCCCAGAUAGCAACUUAUACGCGUAAACAUAAUAGUACAUACAAAUGAUACAUGAUUCAUACAAUAGCUGCCGCCACAUCAGAAAAGAAUCUCGAGAUGGAAGUAAACCUGACAUAGCAUUGAAACUGGCCGGACUAAGCCUCGGAGGUUUCUGGCUAUUGUUUGUUCCGUUUCCUUUAUAUGUAAGUGUUUUCAAGCAUCAUCUUCAUAUCACUGUCAGUUUACCUUUACCUAAAGGGAAGUUCGGUACACUAAAGCUCCCGCUAUGCUCGGUUCUAGGAAAGGCGGAACAACAAGGGUUUAUUGUACGCAGCCUUACCUUGCAUUUCUGCAAAUCAGUUUACCUUUGCGUAUCUUUGUGAUCUCUUUUAUGCAGUGCACUACUAAGCUAUGUUUCUCAGACCCUACAAACUGUUGCCGCACCUGCGUCGGAUCCUCGAAAAAUGCAUAGGUUUUGGAGGACUCGACACGCACCUGAUGUUACUUUUGAAGAGUCCGAGCAACAUAGCUAAUAAAUAAUUACGUUCCAGAGUCUAGAUAUAAGAUCCCAACUUCUUUUAACGUUUUGACAAAUUUGGAUGUUCAUUUUAGGCAAGGGUAAGCAUAUAAAGUAGAGUCCAUAGACUUGACGCGGAUGGUGAUUCAAUCCGGGAAAAGAUUCUCAACAGGAAAAAGUAAAAACAACUGCAACAUCCUUUGCAGCUCAUACUCGAACCAUUUCAACGAAAAAAAUUAUUAGCAAAAGUCAUGAGACUCUUAUAUACGACCGGCAAGAAGGUUCAUCAGACAACAACAUUAAAGCGUGGUGAAGGAAGUUUUCCAACUUUUACAAUCCAAUUUCGCCAAGAUAUACCAGAAGGUUUCUGAAUCGUAAAAUAAUUUCAGAGGGUCUACAGAAAAUUUCAGUAAAUUAUGAGAUGAUCAUCGAUGACAGUCCUAUAAGGAUAGACUGAAUGGAUGUCUUUGUAGAGAAUCAUCUGGUGAUGGUUUUCGACAUUUUAGUACACUUCUUGUCGAUGAUGUUUUCCCCCACAAAUACGAACAAGAAAAUGCCUUACCAAAAUAAACCUGGAUGAGGGUACCGUUGGCUAGACUAAAGUUAAACAGAAUGCUAAGAAGGAAUUGUUCGCUUAGUCCGACUUUAUUUCACCAUGUCUUUCAGACUAUACAGUAUACGGGACUAGGACAGCGCGCUACAGUUUCAAGUUAUCUUAAUCAAAAUAAUCAGAAUACCAAAAAUUCGCAAACAAGAUCAGGGUAGCGUCAGAAAAGUAUUCUUCUGGUAGUCAUUUGCGUUGCUUCAAGUAAGACGAUACAGAAUAAGAGGAAAAUUAACUGUUGCAGGACCGUUUAGCUCCAGAAACUAUCCUUAUCAAUAAGAGAUGUUAUCUAAAGAUCAUGUUUUUUUGAAUCGUAUUGAUGAAAGCAGAUAUACCACGCUACGCUCAUGCUCAUAUGAGAACUAUGUUGCUCGAACUCUCCAAAAAUGUGAUUGCACCUGUGUCGGAUACUCCAAAAAUACACCACUUUUGGGUGAUACGACACGCGCUCAUCAGCAACUUUGAAGAGUCCGAGCAACAUAGCAUGAGAAGACUCUGGUGCAAUGAAGGAAAGGAAAAUAACAAACGUAUUCAAACAAUUACCACUUUAAGAAGAAGGCGUCUCAUCUGAAGUUUCUUAAUGCCAGUGAUCUUCUGAGCCACUAUAUCGCUGAUCGCUGACAAAACUGCAGCUGUUAUCGCCUGCAAUUAUAAAUCGUAAAAUUUAGAAACAACAACAACAUACCCAGUGUAAUCGCACAAGUGGCAUUUGGGGAGGGUGGGGUGUACGCAGACCUUACCUCUACCUUUACUGAGUAGAGAGGUUGUUUGCGAUAUACCCUCGGCUCAAGAAACAUCGUGUUUCAGAACAUGUUAAACUAUUUUUUUCAACAAGGGUGGUGUUCAUCCAACUCACACGCACGUCAACUAAUCGACUGCAUACUUGCUACCUCCAAUGGGUGCUGUUCAUCCAACUCACACGCACCUCAACUAAUCGACUGCAUACUUGCUACCUCCAAUGGGUGCUGUUCAUCCAACUCACACGCACCUCAACUAAUCGACUGCAUACUUGCUACCUCCUAAGGGUGAUGUUCAUCCAACUCACAUGCACCCCAACUAAUCGACUGCAUACUUACUACCUCCUAAGGGUGGUGUUCAUCCAACUCAGACGCACCUCAACUAAUCGACUGCAUACUUGCUACCUCCUACUAACACAAACACUCUUAUAUGUCAACAUUUAGAUCGAUAGAAAAAAAUCGCCUAAUCUUUAGCCUCUAUGGUUUACCAUGAACAACUUCCAACUUCAUUAACCACUAGCUCACACCCUUUAAAUUGUCCUGAUGCCAUUAUAGUUAAAUACCCCCUCCGUUUCAAAAAGAAUAACCUACUUUCCUUUUUAGUCUAUUUCAAAAAGAAUGACCCUUUCCUUUUUUGGCAUUACUUUUAAUUCAACUUUCCGCAUGGCAUGUUUAAGACCACAAGAUUAAAGCGCAUUUUGGUACAUUUGACAUAACUUUAAUUUAGGACCAUAAGAUUCAAAAGUUUCUUUAUUUUCUUAAACUCUAUGCCAAGUCAAACUAGGUCAUUCUUUUUUAAACGGAGGGAGUAUUAUUUUUAAGCUAAUCGUUGAUUUGCAACCCUUAUCUAUCCUGAGUCGGGAGUAUAUCGGAAACAACCUCUCUACUUCAUCUGAGGUAGUGGUAUGGACUGCGUACACUUUACCCUCCCCAGACCCCACUUUGUGGGAAUACACUGUAUAUGUUGUUGUUGUUGACGUUGAUUUCCAACCCAAAUAUUCUUGGCAUAACACGUAAACAAACAUUCAAACUUGGCCUCAGUUGGCAAGUAAGCACUCCAACUCAUUCCCACUGUAUCUUAUGGACAUCCAAUGCCGACGCCACACAUAAAUUUUGGAGGGCUCUAGAUAAUCAUUUUGUGACUUGAAGCAUUCAACUGAUAUAGCGAAGACAAGUUGAGGCAUCUAGAUGUGCAUACUCAAAGUCGGGGUAUUUACUUGUGACUUGCCAUAACACAUAAACAGACAUUCAAACUUGGCCUCAGUUGGCAAGUAAGAACUCCAACUCAUUCCCACUGUAUCUUAUGGACAUCCAAUGUCGACGCCACACAUAAAUUUUGGAGGGCUCUAGAUAAUCAUUUUGAGACUUGAUGCAUUCAACUGAUACAGCGAAGACAAGUUGAGGCAUCUAGAUGUGCAAACUCAAAGUCGAGGAAUUUACUUGUGACUUGCCAUAACACAUAAACAGACAUUCAAACUUGGCCUCAGUUGACAAGUAAGCACUCCAACUCAUUCCCACUGUAUCGUAUGGACAUCCAAUGUCGACGUCACACAUAAAUUUUGGAGGGCUUUAGAUAAUCAUUUUGUGAGUUGAAGUGUUCAACUGACACAGUGAAGACGAAUUGAGGUAUCUAGAUGUGCAUACUCAAAGUCAGAGUGUUUACUUGUCAACUUAAGUUAAGUUUGAUUGUUUGUCUAUUAUUUCAAUGUUCUUUCUUUAACCAAAUGUAAAAUUGACUAUGCGUUGCAUAUGUCAUAGAAAAAAGUAGGGAUAAGCAUCUAGCACCCCCGAACUAUGGUCAAAGUUGCUACGACACACUCCAAUUCCACAGGGAUCCUAUUACUCCCGAACUCAAUUUUAGCGUAUUUUUAUCUAAGUUGCGAACUCUUCACUUUCGAUGUCGCACCCGUGUCGGAUUCUCCAAAAAUACUCUAGUUUUGACGAAUCCGGCACGCACCCAUUGACAUUAUUGAAGAGUCCGUGCAACAUAGAUUUUUAUAACCCUUUUGUGCUGACGUGACACCUUAAUUACAUAAAACGUGGCUCAUGUCAAAGGUGUCACGUCAGCUAAAAAGGUUGACAAAACGUGUCACGUCAGCUAAAAAGGUUGACAAAAAUAUGCUAAAAUUUAGUUCACGAGAGUAACAGACCCCGUGAAGUUGGAACUUGGAAUGUGUCGUAGUAAAUUUGGUCAUAGUUCAGAGGUACCAGAUGUUUUACUCAAUAAAGUACAAAUAAACAGGAAAUAUCCAUAUCAUAAAUUGCAACUUCUUGACAUAUAAAAAAAAAUACCUACAUAAUAAAUUAAACUAACAGCUCAAAAUAAUCAAAACCAACUUCACAAAUCAGAUAAAACGAAUCAUAUAAAUAAAAAUUAGUCAAAAAAAAAUCAAGAAAGUGAAAAAAUAAAAAAAAAAGAAAGGGAAAAUGCUCUGUUCUAUACACGAAAUUACUGAGAUACACCCGAACUUUAAGAGGAUCCUAUUACCUGGACUAAUUAAAAUUGUAUUUUUGGCAACCUUAGUGCCUACGUGGCACAUCAGUAAAUCAACACACUAAAGGUCCACGUAGGCACACGUAUGUGCCACAUAUGUAUUACGUAGGCACUAAUAUUGCCAAAAAUACGAUUUUAAUUAGUCCAUGAGGUAUUAGUACCUCCUAAAGUUUGCCUCAGCAAUUUCGUGUAUAGUUUAGGGUAGAAAUAAUGCAUUUUCUCUAUAAAAGAAAAAACCUACAUAAUAAAUUGAACUAACAGCUCAAAAUAAUCAAACCCCACUUCACAAAUCAGAUAAAAUGAAACAUAUAAAUAAAAAUUAGUCAAAAAAAAAUAAAUCAAGAAAGUGAAAAAUAAAAAAAGAAAAAGUGAGACCUUUGUUCUUAAAGGGUGUUUCUGAAGUUGUACUAAGUAUUUUUGCAAUCCCUUUUUGGCAAGUGAAUCCAUUUUUCUUCUUUCCUUUUUUUGCUGUUCUUCUUCAGUUUAUCAACUGUAAGAAAGAAGAAGAAAAAUACGAUUUAGUUUUUUCUAGUUUGGUUUUUCAGUUAAAUAUCUAGAUUACUUCAGCAUGUGGGACCCAUUUGGACCACUUGUUGAAACUUUCAACUUUGAUUAGCUCAAAAGAAGAAUAUUCUCUUCUUUUAAAACGUUGUAUUAAAUCUCCUCCUAUAUUAAUAUUUCAAAAUAAAAAAUAUAUUUAAAGUAUCUUAAUUUUAUGAGUUUUUAUUUGAUUGAGGUACAAUGGUCUAUCAUAUUCAAACUGAUCUAUUAUAUACAAACUUAUCUUUCAUUUUUACAAGAAGUUGUUUUCACAUCUUGAACCAUAAUUUCUCGAUCAGAUGACAAUAACUUUAUUAUUUAUGUCAAGGCUCUCGUUCACUUAUUAAUAAAAGUAAAGUAAAUACAAAAUAGUAAAUUAUAUCUUAGGCUUUUCAAGUCGGACUUCAUAGUACAUAUCUAAAGUAUCUCAAUUUUAUGAGUUUUCAUCUGAUUGAAACACAAAGGUCUAUUAUAUACGACCUGGUCUAUUGCAUGCAACCUUAUCCUUCGUAGCCGUUUGGUCAUGAAAACUAAAAUUUUUCGGAGUUGGAGUUAAAGUUGAAGUUGAAAUUGGAGUUGGAGUUGUGUUUGGCCAUGUUUUUUUUGAAUUUUUUUCUUUUACUUUUGAAAAAACUUUUUAAAAUAUGAUUUUAUGACCCAACUUUUAAAAACUAUCAAAAUCAUCCAACUAAAAUUUACCUACUGACAUACAAGUGAUUCUUAUAUAGAGAGACACUUCCAUUUCUCGAACCAAGUUUGCAUUAACGAAGAAAAUAACACUCGAGAACAAAUGUAAAAAUGAUUGUCAAAAAUGUCAUGAAAGAUUUUACUGUGUGUGAAUAAAUUAUUUUUAUGUAAAACAUACUUUGCAUAUUUAUGGUAUAUUAUAUCAUAUACCAACAACAACAACAACAAACCCAGUGUAUUCCCACUUUGUGGGGUCUGGGGGGGGUAAGAUGUACGCAGUCCAUACCUCUACCUCUGAUGAAGUAGAAAGGCUGUUUCCGAAAGACCCCCGGCUCAAGUUACGAGAUAUCAAACAAACACAUAGUACAGCACAGAAGCAGAUGACAUAACAUAGAUACUGCAGCCAUAAGGAAUAUAAAAUAGAGUAAAGCAGGGAUGCAGGAAUAUAAAGCAGAGGAAAGCACACAGAUUCGUAACAAACAUAGAACACGGAACACGGAAUCGCGACCCGAACGGGCCCUAAGCCUCUGCCGUAAUUCGCGUCUUCCAGACCUUCCUAUCUAGGGUCAUGUCCUCGGUCAUAUACCAUAAAUAUAUAAAUAUGCUUAGUAUGUUUCUUUAUACUUUGUAUAUUUAUAUAUGUGUAUAUAUGGUAUAUACAUGGUAUAAACUUAAACUCGGAACCAAAAUAAGUCACAAAAUAAAAAAAGUGAUCAAAAUAGGACACCUAUUUAAAAAGCUACCAAAAUAGGCUAAAUGUAAUAAAUUAUUACGUUUUUCACUUUUUCCUUAACGGUCAUCACGGUUUGUAAAACGUAAUAAAUUAUUACAAACUACAAACAAUAUUUGUAAGUUGUAAUACACCUAACCACAUCACAUCACAUUUACUUUUCCAACUUUUAAAUUUAACCCACCCCACUUUUAAAUGUAACCCACCCCACCCCUUGUAGAACCCUCUCACCCCACCCCUAACCCAUCCAACAGCCCCUACCCCUGCCCCUGCCCUGCCCUGCCCUUUUUUUUGUUUUCUUAUUUUUUUGUUUUUGUAUUAAGACUCUGUUCUCUUCCUUUUCAAGUUUAAGUUGUUAGUUAAAAAUUAAGGUAGCUAAUGUCCAUUUUUGGAUCCAUACUAAGCUCCACUACUAAACUUCAUUUAAAGAAUUUCCAUCGGUCCCCCACUCCCCUUUACUUAGUUCUUUUAUUUUUUUAUAUGGUAAAAAUAUGAAAUUAAUUUUUUCGAUUAAUGUUUCAUAUUAAUUUCUGAUUAGUGUGUUGAUUAGGAUUUUGAGGAGACUUACAUGGACAAAUACGUUUUUUAUUAUAAUUAAUAAAGUAAGAAAUCGCAAUUUAAGUUACGGGUGUAUAAAAAUCGAACUGAUAAAAAUAUUAUUGAUUUAUCUUUAUUGGGUUAACUAUUUUUUAAUGAUUUUAUAAAAAAAAUUAUUGGGUUAUUGAUUCAAUUUUGAUUUUUUUCAUUGGGUUAUUGGGUAAAUCGAUAACCGAUUAAGAUUAUACGAAAUUAUUAUUUACACCCUCCAUAUAUAUAUAUAUAUAUAAGUAGGAUUGGAUGUUGGUUUCAAUUAAGAUUCAACCAACAUUCAAUCCUACUUAUAGGUUUAUAUAUACUAGUAUAAUGACCCGUAUAUAUAUAUAUAUAUAUAUAAGUAGGAUUGGAUGUUGGUUGCAAUUAAGAUUCAGUUUCUUUUGAUGUUAGUUACUUAUCGGUUUCUUAUCGGUUAAAUCGAAAAUGAAAUCCUUAUUGGCUAAAAUCGAUAACUAAUAUAACUAUAAAUAUUAGAAGUUAUCAUCUUCUUAUAUAAAAGCCAACAAUAACCAAAAAAUAUUAGAAGUAUAACUACAGAUAUAAUGCUUUAAUCAGCAAGAAAAUAUAAUUAUAUCCGUCAAAAUACACCAUCUUAUCAAACUAAUGCACCAUUACGCAUACGCCAACAUCAAUUUUCAAUUCAAUGACACAAAACGUAAAUGAACAUCAUCACAUUACACAUCAAACUAAUGCACAAAAUUAGCUUUAACAUCCUUUUGUCUUUCAACUCUUUUUGUUGUUUGUUGGUCUUCUUCAACAAACCUAAGAUCACAAUAUUGGCUUGACGUGGAAAUUUCGGAUCAUACCAAUCAAAAAAGUUGCAACUAGUUCGAAAUAGAGACUGCAAUUCAUAGAAAAGAAAGUUAUAAAAUUUAUUUGUUACAAAACAUUAAAAAGAAGAGAUAGAAUAUAAAAAUUACAUACACCAUAAUGCAUACAACCGAGGAACAUACGUCCGAGAUUGUCAUUCGACCAUGAAAUUCUCACAAUUGGAGGAGACCUACAUGCACAAAUAAGUUUCCUAUUAUAAUUCAUGAAGUUAGAAUUAAGUAGACAAAGUAGAAGAAAUGGAAUGAGUUCUUUUUUUUAUUAUUGGAAGUGAUAGGGGAAGAGGGAUAAUGAAGUGAUGGAGGAAAAGGGAUAAUAAAUAGGAAGAGGGAUAAUUGAAACUUGUUACCAUUGAAAAUGCUGAUUUUAAAAAAUAAGUUUAGUAACUCAAAAAUUCUGAGUUACUAAUCAUUAACCCAAUAAUUUUUUUAUAAAAUCAUUAAAAACUCGAUUUAUAGUUACUUAUUAUCGAUUUACCCAAUAACCCAAUAAAAAAAUCAAAAUCGAAUCAAUAACCCAAUAAUUUUUUUAUAAAAUCAUUAAAAAAUCGUUAACCCAAUAAAGAUAAAUCAAUAACAUUUUAUCAGUUCGAUUUUUAUACACCCGUAACUUAAUUUGUGAUUUCUUACUUUAUUAAUUAUAAUAAAAAACAUAUUUGUCCAUGUAAGUCUCCUCAAAAUCCUAAUCAAAACACUAAUCAGAAACUACUAUGAAACAUUAAUCGAAAAAAUUAAUUUCAUAUUUUUAUCACACAAAAAAAUAAAAGAACUAAGUAAAGGAAAGUGGAGGACCGAUGAAAAUUUUUCAAAUGAAGUUUAGUAGUGGAGCUUAGUAUGGAUCCAAAAAUGGAUACUAGCUACCUUAAUUUUUUACUAACAACUUAAAUUUGAAAAGGAAGAGAACAAAGUCUUAAUACAAAAAUAAAAAAAAUAAAAAACCAAAAAAAGUGCAGGGCAGGAGUAGGGGGCAGGGGUGGUUGCGUGGGUUAGGGGUGAGGUGAGAGGGUUCUACAAGGGGUGGGGUGGGUUACAUUUAAAAGUGAGGUGGGGUGGGUUAAAUUUAAAACUGGGAAAAGUAAAGGUGAUGUGAUGUGGUUAGGUGUAAGUUGGAAUAAUUUAUUACAACUAACAAACACUGUUUGUUGUUUGUAAUAAAUUAUUACAUUUUACAAACAGUAUUUGUAAAACGUAAUAAAUUAUUACAAACUACAUGAUUUAACAUAAAGAAGAUGUGAUAGCACACUGUUUUUUAUUUUUUGUGCAAAACGUAAUAAAUUAUUACUUUUUACAAAUCGUGUUGACCGUUGGUUGAUCAAAAGUGAAAAACGUAAUAAUUUAUUACAUUUAGCCUAUAUUGGUAAAUUUUUAAAUAGGUGGCCUAUUAUGGUCAUUUUUUUUAUUUUGUGCCUUAUUUUGGUUCUGAGUUCUAUAAACUUCAUAUAUAACAUACUUUGUAUAUUUAUGUUAAUAAAUAUGCUUAAUAUGUUUCUUAAUAUUUUAUAUAUUUAUAUAUGUAUGUAUAUGGUAUAUACAUGGUAUAAACUUUAUAUAUAACAUACUUUGUAUUUUUCGGUUAUAAAUAUAAUACUUUAUAUAUUUAUGGGUAUAAAUAUAUUACUUUGUGUAUAAAGAUACCAAGUAUUAUGGUAUAUAAAGAUAGCAGUUGCAGUUUAAGGUAUAAAUUUGUUAAAUUGGACAUAAUUUUUUAUGAAAAAUAUAUAUCACCGAUUUAUCUUUUUAGCAUAUAUAUGGUAUAAACUAUUUAUAUUUGAAUAGUAUAAUAAAGAUGUACACAAUAUAAUAUAUAUAAUCAAAUUAAAAAUGAGAAUAAUUUGUGGCAGUGGUAAACUAAUCUGCUACAACUUUAUUAAUUUCAUAAAUAUAGAAAAUGAUUAUCCAUUAUUAAUUACACGACAGUAAUUAGGAUCAUUAGCAGUAAAAUAAUGUCUUAAAUAAGAAAGAAAAAUAAUGAUGAGAGAGAAAAAGAGAUAUAUAUUAAUUAGGAUAGCAUUAAGUUUGAAAUUAUAAUUACCUUAUUCUUUAAAACUGCUAUAUACGUAAUAUUGAAAAGGUAAUAUUAUUCAUGAAUUUAAUAAGUGUUAAGGAGUGUUUUAUGUAAAAAUUUAAAAGAUUGGGGUUAUAUGUAAUAAUAAUAAAAGUUGAAAUUGGAGUUGGAAAUUGUGAAAACACCAAAAACUUGUUUUCCCUUUUCAGAAAAAAUUUUCGAAAUUAUUUUUUGAAUUUUCAUGGCCAAACACCGCAAUUUCCAACUCCGAAAAAAAAUCCAGAAAAAAGAAAAAAAAAUUCAUAGCCAAAUGGGAUUUUUGGAUGAAGUUGUUUCCACAACUCGAACUAUAACCUCUUGAUUACAUGACAACAACUUUAUCGACUAAGUCAAGGCUUCUGUUCAAUUAUAUUAAUAAUAAAGGUAAAAGAGGUAUAAAAUGGUAAUAUCUUUUGAUUUUCCAAACUGACCAAAAAAGAAUAAACAUAUAAUUUAUAUAGUACUUAAAUAAGUAAAAAUAGAUGAAAACAAUAUGAUUUAGUUCACAUCAUAAAUUUUUAUUUAAUUUUAAACUUUAUGCCGAGUCAAAUAUAUUAAAUUUUGACUUGUAGAUGGUGACCAUUUGGACCAUGUCAUGUUUAAUUAAAUUUUGAUUAGCGGAGAAACCCAUAAUUCAUAAAAAGAAUAUUCCGUUUUGCUAAGGGAUUUAUUUAGUGAUUUGCCCAUUAUGAUUUGUAAUGGAAUUUUGGUUUAACAAGUUAUAAAUAUUUUAAAUUUUGUGAUUGAGUUGAAUUAUUCAAUUUGGCUUAGGGUUUAGUAAGUAAAGUAUUAGUUUAUUACAAGUAAUUUCGUGUUUGGAUAGAAGUGUUGAAAUUAAUAAUAAGUAGGUUGCGUGUUUGACAAAAAUAUAUUGAUAAUCUAUUUUAUGUUUAAAUGAUUGAAGUUCCUUAAGAUAUAUAAUUAAGAUCAGAGCCCAUGCAGAGGCGGACUCAGGAAUUGAAUAUAUCGAAAGCUGCAUCACUAUACAUCUUUAGCGUAAAUAUUUUUUUUUUUUAUUAUCCGAUAUUCAGUAUCCAUAAAGACGAUUGAUUCAAAUUCACGUAUUGUAGAGCUGAAUAAAAGAAAAAUGCUACAUACUAACAAAUUUUUUAACUAUCAAAACUCGAACUCGAAAUCUAAUAAAAUUAAGAAAUUUCUAAUAGUGAUUUCAACAAUUAUGAUGAGCAAUGCAUAGAAAUGUUUCUUUAAUUUAUGUUUGACAUGAAAAUUAUAAUAGACAUACACUUAGGGUCAUUUGUAGAGUGUAUUAAAAAAAAUGCAUUAAUUUUAUGUAUUAUUAGUACCUUGUUUGGUAUAUCUUUAGCUCAUGUAUAACUAAUGCAAUACGAUCUAUUGUGUAUUCAGGUGUGUAUUACUAAAACCUCAAAAUUCAUGGCAUUAAUAAUGAUAUGGAUCCAAUACAUGCAUUAACAUGAUAAAAGACAAUUCUCUCAAAAAAAAAAUCUGCAUCCUUUCCAACAUAUAUAUGGAGGGUAUUUUUAUAAUUUUUUUUCAAGAAAUUAUGUAAUUCAUGUUAUUUUUAAUACAUCAAACCAAACAAUGCAUAAAAAAAAAUACAAGCAUAGCUAACACAGACAUUACUAAUAUAAACAUUAUUAAUUCACCAUAUUUUACAUUAUUCUUAUACACUCUUUAUCAAACGACCCCUUAGAGUCAUUCGAUUCAUGCAUAUUACAUUACUAAAAAAGAACAACCCGAUGCACUAAAUCUCAUUCUAUGCUUUUUUUGUAUAGAAAUGAACACUAGUGACGCCCAAGUGCUCCAUCAUUUACUUCAACUUUGCCACUACCAAUUAACACAGUUUCACCAUCAACUUUGCCAUUUCUAAAAUUAGAACCAAAACUUGAACUAAAUGGUCUAGGGGGUAUAUAAAAUGAUUUGAUUUUUUCAUCAACUAAUUUUGCUUCAUUUGCAAUGUUCCUAGCAUUUGUUGAUACAACAAGUGCACUAGCAAUAAUGAGGAGGAAAAUAAUUUUUGUUGGCAUUUUUAGGAGUUGAUAAUUAAGACAAUUUUUUAUUUUUUUUUUGGAGUAUGAGAAUUUUGGUUUGGGAUUUGAAAUUAUAUAUAGGUGUUGAGAAUUUUAAUUAUGUUGAAAGUUAGGGAGAUGUUAAGUUGAUGAUUAUGCAUUGCAUGUUUAUUAACUAUAAUUUAUUUCUGUAUGAAAGUUCAAGAAAGUCAAUUUCAAUGAUACUCUUAAACUUCAUGAUCAACCUAAUUCUAUCUUACAACAAAAUCAAUUACCAGUAAUUUGAUUUUGAUGUUCAAUUCUUCUUCUUCCAAUUUGGGUUUGGUUGGGGGAGGGGUGGGGUGGGGGUAUUAUUAGUAAAGACAAAGAUAAAUAGAAAAAGACCAAAAUAUCCUUGAAUUAUCGAAAAUGGAGCACUUUGUCCUCCGUUGUCUUUUGUAGAAUCAAAAGUACCCUUGCCGUAUAAAAAUUGGACCACACUUGCCCCUCCUCAUUAACAAAUUAAAUUUCAACUCAACUUAGAUCAAGUUAAGACCCGCGGGGCCAUUUUGGUGGUCAAACAGGCGAAACGGCGUGAACAUGCCGUGAAACGACAUGAAUAGGCCGUUUUUGGCCCGUUUCGGGGGGUGUUAACCCACAGUUCGGUGAGUGGGCUCAAGGUCUGAUGGAUCUGGGCAAAAAUCACAAGCGACCCUCAGACAGGCUGUGGAGCGGAUGUGGGUAGUUUGGCGAAACCGCUGGGGCUAUUUUAGUGGUCAAACGGCACGAACGGACAGUUUUUAGCCCGUUUCGGUGAGUGGGUCUGGGCGAAAAUCGACAGGCAAACCUCCGACUGGCUGUGGAGCGAAUGUGGGUAGUUUGGCGGGAUAGCUAGGGCCAUUUUAGUGGUCAAACGGGCGAAACCGCUCGAACGGACAAUUUUUAACCCAUUCGGCGGGUAGGCCCAGGGCUAGAUCUGGGUAAAAAUCGACAGGUGGCUCCUCGACGGGCUGACCAGAUAUGGGUGGUCCGACGGGACCGUGGGGCCAUUUUGCUGGUCAAACGGGCGAAAUGGCGCUAUCAAGUCAAAAAUUAUUGUUUUGUCAGAAAAGUGAUUAGUAAGCGCUAUUUGAUCGCUCUUUGUUGUACCUUUUAAGAAAAUUGAAAGCUUACACCGCGAUUUUAAAAGCGUGUCUAGAUAGAUUCACUUUUACAUGAUCCUAUUGUUUAUUCUUCUUGUAUCUCAUACAAGUUCAUCAAACGACAUCCUCUUUGUAAGAAUCCAUGACCUUUACCGCGAGGCGGGGUUGCCAAAGACAGGGCUAGUGACUGAAGUGAAGUCAUAACGAGGUAGCCGUAGCCAACAAAUAUCCAAGACUUUGCACAAUCAAGAAGCAACCAAAACAAACCCCUUUAUAAAAAGGGUAGCCUAGUGUACUAAGCUCCCACUAUGCAGGGGAUUCAGAAAAGAGUCAAACCAUAGGGGUUUAUUGUACGCAGUCUUAUCCUACAUUUUUGCAAGAAGCCGUUUCAAAACACAAGCUCCUUUAUGUUGAUUCAAAGACUAGAAUUCCUAGAAAUCAAGUCAAGACCAAAGAUGGAUAUAAAAAGGAAAAAGAAGAGAGGAAUAAGAGGACAGUAUACUUUACUACCUAACUUCUAUACAACCACAAGUCCAUUUUUUCUUGAUAACCCGUAGUGUCCAAAUCAGCUUGCGUGCAACUUUUGGUAUUGCUGACUAGCCUCAAAAUAAGAUAUGUAAAAACAGUGUCUUUCACCCGAGAGCAUUCACAAAAGCCAGCAUGGAAUCUACAUCCCUCUUCUCCGACGGGUACUUAAUGGGCUGUGAAGAAUGUUUAGGAAAGAAAAGUAUUGUAGGGAAGCUUGCAACCUGGAAUUGUUGCUGGGCAAAUGCUUUCUGCUCACCAUCUGUCCUUAUUUUUCGCUACUUUCACACCAUAACUCGCCAACUUCUCGGCCAAUUCAACGUAGGAUCCUUCCAUUGCCUAAACAGAAUCAGAAACAAGAUCAUCAAGAUAAUCCCUAAAUACCUGCCGGCUACGAAGUAGAGGCGAAUGCAGCCUAUAUGCAAUGGUUCAGACGAAUCCAGUAUUUUCGAAACAUGGCUACAUAUGUGAAAAGUCACUUAGUUUUCAAUAAAUAUUAAAUUCUAAAACCAUAAUGUCAAAAUUAGUACAAUUACGCUCAGUGGUGAGAACCUUAAACGUUGAACUAAUCAAAUUUGAAUCUUGGAUCAGUUUCAGUGGAGAAAGAAGUUGUUGAUGAGAAGAUAAAUUACCUGGCAAAAGCGACACCAAGGUGCAUAAAGAACAAGCAGCCAAGGCUCAUGUCGAUUUUCCAACCUCAAUAGGUUCUCAAUUCCAGGCCUACUCAAGCUUACAAUGUCCUGGAUGUCGAAAAUAUCAGAAACAGAAGCACUACCAUUAGAUGGACAGUGAUAUUUCCAUUUCCAAUCACGCUUUCAUCCUAGAUGUUGCCCUUAUGUAAGCCACACUCAGCCUUGAAAUCCUCCCACCACUACCUUCCUUUUCGCUCGUUUGGACAGGUUGGAUAGCCCGCGUGCAAGGGUCACAUCCAAUAGAAACGUAACCUUGUGAAUGCAAUGAGUUAUCCGGAUUCAACCUCCCAGUAUCAAGGAUGAAAACUCUAAAUGGACGACCAGUUAAACGAGCAUACUCUUAACAAAGCAACAUUUUCAGCACCACUGCAAAAUAAGGAUAUAAUUUAGGAGCUGCAUCAUAGCAAGAUAACAUAUCAGGAAAGUCAUUUGACAGCGAACUCUUGAAGGAAACCUACAUUUCUCUAUAAAAAAGUAGAACACAUAUAUCAGGAUACUCGAUCAUAAAUGACCAAAAAAAAUGUCAUGAUGGCCUCUAGAAUCAUGCAGAAUAGCUUCUCAUCAAGAUAUGUAAAAAGACUAUCUGCCUGUCAUUCACCUGAGGGCAUUGACAAAAGCCAGCAAGGAGUCUACGUCCCUCUUCUCCAACAAGUACUUAAUCGCCCGUGAAGAAUGCCUAGGACAGAAGAGUAUCGUAGGGAAGCUGCCAAGCUUUCUGCUCACCGUCUGCCCUGAAGUUUGCUGUUUUCACAGCAGCAUUUGCCAACUUCUCCACCAAUUCAAUGUAGGAUCCUUCCAUUGCCUCUACAAAAUCAGAAAAAAAAAAGAUCAUUAAGAUAAUUCCCAAAUACCAUCCGGCUAGAAAAUAAAGGCGAAUACAGCAGCCUAAAAUCAAUGGCUCAACUGAAUCCAGUAUUUCGAAACAUGACUACAUACGGGAAAAGUCACCAAGUUUUCAACAAAUGUUAAAUUCUAGAACCAUAAUGUAAUAUGUACACUAUGCUCAGUGCUUAGAGCCUUAAAGGUUGAACCAAUCAAAUUCAAAUCUAGGAUCAGCCUCGGUGGAGAAAGAAAAAGUUGUAGAUGAGAAGAUAAAUUACCUGGCAAAAGUGGCACCACGGCUCACUUCGAUUUCCAACUUCAAUAGAUUCUCGAUUCCAGGCCUACCCAAGCUUGCAAUGUCCUUGGUGUCAAAAUUAUCAGAAACAGCAGCGCCACCAUCUGCAUGGACAGCGCCAUUUCCAUUACCACUCGUGCUUUCAUCCUUGAUGUUUCCCUAAUGUAAGCCACACUCCUUGGCCUUGGCAUUCUCCCACCACCACCUUCCCUCUCGCUCGUGUUGGCCAGGUAGUACAACCCGCAUGCAAGGUUCACAUCCAAUAGUAACAUAGCCUUGUGAAUGCAAUGAGUUAACCGGAACAUUCAUUGCUCGAAGGAAAUUCCAAAUAUCCUUGCCAUCCACAUUAGCAACAGGAUUCAACUUCACCAAACUGCAGGCUCCACCAUCCAACCCCUCGAAUGAAGGGUCUAUCUGAACAAUGGGAAUUUCAGAUCAAGUACCAGCAGACUGAUCUUUACGUUGCCCGGUGAUCCAGGCACGUAAGACUUUGAGGGCUCUCUUCAAGGACCUAACUUUCCUUAUGCGGCAGCAUUCUUGGUGGUCAUCUUCAAUAAAGCCUGAACAUAAACAGCAUCAAGGAACAUAUAUUCAAUACAAAUUCCAUAGUGCUUCUCUAUGGUAGGUUUCUGGAUUCAACCUCCCAGUACCAAGGCUGAAUACUUGAAACGGACGACCAGUUAAAUGACCAUACUUUAACAAAGCAACAUCUUCAGCACCACAGCAAAAUAAGGAUAUCAUUUAGGAACUGCAUCAUAGCGAGAUAACAUAUCCGGAAAGUCAUUUGAUAGCGAACUCUUUAUUGAAACCUACAUUUCUCAUAAAAAAGUAGAACACAUAUAUCAAUCAUAAAUGACCAAAAAAUGAAAUGUCAGAUACCAGAUCACUUCUUGAAUUUAGAUCAAGCUUCCAUGGGGUUCUCUCACUCCUACUACUUAAUAAGUAUUCUAUUUUUUACACAUAUUUGGCCAAAGAGCAAUCCAUUGGAAGCUCAUACAUUAAUUUGGAUACAAAAUAGUACAAUCAUCCUCAGCACUAAAAAAAUAACAUGAUACAGCCAGAAUAGACAAGAGCUAAAGCGGAUGUAGCCUUUUGGUUAUGGGUUCAUCUGAACCUAUAACUUUUCACACGAAGUAUAGAUAUACAACAAUAUACCUCUAACAACAUAACAAUGGGACGGAUCUAGUAUCCUCAAUUUUAAACAACAAAACACUAAUUUUAAACCAGACCAAAAUUAACUUAAAGGCGCGUGGGCAGGUUCAUGCUCAAAGUGCUUAAUAUAAGUCAAGAAUAUGUGAAACAGUUUGAUUACACAAGCAAUGUUGAACAACAAAUAGAAACCAGAGAUUAACCAAAUCAAAACAUAAGUUCCACAAUAAUAUUGGAGAUACGACAAAUAAAAUCAUUAAACUAGAUAUGUGGGAACAUCAGGAACUUGGAACUCAAGAUGUAUGGGAAUCAUUAUCCCCUUGAUCGCAGUCUCGGGGAAGAUCCUCGUGAGCAUCGGCAUGACUUGGCGGAUGCAUCUCUUGAUCAUCUUGAUCGUCCUCACCCUCAUCAGGAAUAUCCACAUGUAUGUCUGCAGGAGAUAGCUGAGGAGUAGGCAACAUAUCUUUUUCGGCUUUUGCCUCCAUCUCACGGGCAGUGAGGAUGGCAGCAUCAAGGUUCGCAAUACCUGCUUUGACCUCUUCCAGAGUGGACCUCCGGACAUUCCACCUCAUAAAUUCAGUCUUACGAGUGAGGCGUUCCUCUCCCUUGUUUACGUCAGCAAGGGCUAUGUUUCUCUGCUCUUCGAGGUCCUUGUUGUAGCUCUUCAAGACGGAAAUUUCAUUUUCUGAAGACUGGAGAGCUCCUUUCUGUCUUUGAAGUAUACUCCUAGCCCUGGCAAGUUGACCACUAAUCUUAUCUAAAUCAGCCCUAGCUGAUAGCUCACUUCUUAGCCGCUGAAGCUCAUCUUCUAGGAAGGUUUCUCUUUCUGCACAAGCACGAAGAUCCUCCUCCAUGGUUUUCAUGUCUAAUUGCAUGAAGCAACAGUCCGAGCGAAGUUGGUCAGCUUCAUGUCGAUAUGCCUUUUUCUCUCGGUUGGCACAAUCCAAAUGCCGGUUAGCAUACUAUAAAACUAAUGGUGGCCCGUUCAAAACCUGUCUUUGCCUCUUGAAGAUCAGCCUUUAGCCUCGACGUAAGUUCAGCGGCUGCCACGUCCUGUGAUUUCCUGUUGGCAAGCUCAGCCUUCAGGGCAGCAAUCUCUAAUGCUUGAGAAUCCAAUUGAAUUUGCAGAUCUUUUCUUCCCCUAAGGCUAAGCAAACCUUCACCCAAGAGUGUGCUGGCCUGAGAGAAAACAAAGAAAAAUAGUCAGAUCAAGAUCCGAGAAAAACAGACCAACGUAAUUAAGGUGAGAAAGCAUUACCCGAUCCAAGGCUUGUAAGCCCUCCUCAAACAAACGUUCCUCCGGCGACCCAUCCGAUCCACUUUCACACCUUGGAGGGCAAGAGGAAGUAUCUGGAUUGGCAGAGAAACCUGGAGUACUCACCCUUUCCAAUGCAUUGCCCAGCUGAGGGAGCUCAAACUCUGUCAUGGCUUCGUUGGAGGGGACGAAUAAAGGCAAUACAAGCUGAUAAGAGCAUGGCUGUUUGGGCAAGACUUUGUGACCUCGCCACACGAGAGCAAUAACUUCAUUGUCAGUUUCCUCCACAUCCUCAAGGUCAAUCACAGCAUGCGUAGAAAGAUGAUUAGUUUCACAAGGAGGCGGGGAAACUUCGCCUUGAGUACGCACGCAGUACCCAUCGUUCACAAUGUGUGCAAGGGAACUAGCCUUCACAAGCCGCCUCCGCUUUUCUGAUGGGAGUUGUGAGGAUGAAGAAAAAUCAUCACGGUUAGUAGAAACCAACUUUCUAUUGUUCCUCUUAGCUUCGACAGUCCGACGACCAGACGCCGCCAGAUCAACAUCUAGAUCUGCCACCACCAACUUUUUUGAAGGGAAACCUAUUAAGAUGGGCAUCAAGUUCAGACUAAAAUGUAAACAUAAAAUAAGAAGACACUAAUUAAUUAUCCCAACCACAAAAUUAUAAUCUUAGAUUGCAGAGAAAAUAUAUCAAAAUUUCAACUUGAGUUCAUGAGUUUUCUUUCUUGUUCUUCAUUCUUUAAUAUUCUCAUUCUUCUCCUGCAAUUUCUUCUCUUUUGAAACCAACAGUAAGUUUGCAGAUAGAAUAGAGCAGUACAUACGUAACCAAAAUACUGGAGAAAUUGCUACUCGGUUGCAAUAGCAUGUGGGCUACAAGUUAGUAUAAGAUGAGGAUAAAGAUGCUCGAAUAUGUCUUCUACAAAAAUAAAAAAUCACGGGAGCGGAUAUACGAAGGAGCGUACCAUGAUUUUUCGCAAUCCAACGAUUUUCCGAUAUUUUCUUCCAUGACCUGUCCUCGUGGUGAGAAACUUCAAGAAUGCACUGGACCCAUUGACGAAGAUCCGCCACGGCAUCCGGCAUCCAUUUGGUGGCUGAUAAAGGAAAAAAGAUAGGAGAAGAGAUUGAGUUAAAGGAGAAAAUGGUAAUAUAACCCUAAAAAUGGUUCUCCUAUCUCACUUACAAUUCAUGUUCCACACCUCUGGGAAAGGAAGAUGAUUGUUCGGGAUAAUCUCAAAAGUUCUUACAGAUACAAAUCUCUCCAUCCAAUGACGAUCUUUCAGCUCAUCUACGCUUGACAGAAGACCUGACUUUCCUAACUUAACGAUAUAUACAACCCUCCCUCAAAAGGUUCGAGGAGAAUAGAAUGGUCCGGGAUAAUCUCCGAAGUCCUCACAAAUACGAACCUCUCCAUCCAACGACGAUCUUUUGACUCAUCUAUGCUCGACAAAAGACCUGAUUUUCCUCGUUUGAUGAGAUAUAUAACCCCACCUCGAAAAGUUCGAGGAGAAUAGAGACACAUCAAGUGGCUUAAAGUGAAAGUUGCAUUAGGACCAAAAGCUUUAACGGACAAGUAACGAAGGCACGUGACGGUCCUCCACACCGCCGGACCUAUUUGAGCAAGACAAAUGCUAUAGCAUACGCACAUAUCUAAGAUUACUGGGUCAAUCGCAGGCUCAAAACCUAAGGUGAACGGAUAAGUAUAUACAUUGGAAAACCUCGAUUUAAAGGAGGUUAUAGCAUCAGGAAUAAGGAGUUCGGUAACCCUAUCCCAGUGACAGUCCCUCCGAACGACUUCAAAAAUAGAAGAAUCUAUCAACGAAUGAUAAUUUUCAACUAGUUCGCCCCUAUCACUCACAGUAGAUUGUUGUCUUCGGUAAAGUCACAAGACCACUUGUAAUUCACUGGAAGAAUAGAAUCCAGUUCGGAGCUAUCAUCAGCGACAGAAAAAGUCUUAGCCAUCUAUGAGAAAAAAUUGUUGUUGAUAGAGCGAAGAAGAAGAAAUUGGUAGUUUGCUCGAUGAUAGAAAGUUACAUAAAAACAACUUAAAGAAGAUGAGGAAAUAGAUUUCACAGGGAAUUUGACUCAUCAUUGUGACGCUUAAACCGGCCCCUAAGACCAAUCGCACACUAACACGUGUUUUGGAAAAUCUUACAUAUGUCAAGAUGCAUUAAAUGGAGAAGAUCUUCCUUCUUAUGGGAGAUUCUCCCUCUAGCACAUUUUAGUUUGCCACUUUUCAUUUACACGGUGUAAGAAAACGUAAAUAAGAUGGUUAAUUUUACUAAUUUUCCAUUUAUUCAUAUUGUUUGAAUCCUAUAUAUGGAUAAGAAAUAUUCCCCAACAUAAUUCCCUAUAAAAAUGAUGAGACUUAACCUAGUUAAGCCAUAAAUAAAUAAACGCGGCAACAUACAAAGACAUCAAAUUUUAUCAAAUGCAUGUGUAGUAGUUCUUUUUAAACACUUCUUAUACUAGUAACCCUUGAAAUGGGUGGGAGUAAGAACGCAAGCAAUUAAUGAGCUCCUUGAAAAGAAACUUUUUGAAACUUAUAAAUUUGUUUCGGCUUCAAAAGAAUAUGUCAACCUUAUUUAAGUAAUUAAAUGUCAACCUUUAAUACUUAAUCAUGACAUGUGACUUCCAUCCAAGUCGGAAAUUGGGAAAAUGGAGAGAUCAAGUAAUGGAAAGGAUCCUUGUCCGAUCCAGUAUGGCCUUUCUAGGAUGAUUUCAACUGUGUUAGAAUAUGAGUAGGAAUAGGACACUACAUGACAAUCCCUUUCCAAGUAGGAUUCUAUAUGUUAUUCCUAUUCCUACACAUAUUCUAGCAUGUAAAGAAUGUAUCUUGGACCUAACUCAACCUCAAAAGUUAGCUCAUAAGGGAAGGAUUGCCCGAGUCCAUAUACGGAGACCAAUUACCCAUGCUUUUUCCGAUGUGGGAUACUUAACACUCUCCCGCACGCCCGGGCCUCGUUAACUGGAGCGUGGACAAUAUAAUAAGGGGGCCCAACAUCGGUGAAAAACGAUUUGGGAUGGGUCUGGCUCUGAUACCAAUUAUUAGUUUUUAGCUUUGAAAUUAGACAAAUAACAGAGAAAGACUUGGAGAGAAAAAAAAUACUACAAUUGUAUUGUCAAAGGGAAUUAUUUUAUUAAUAACUCAAAACAUAUAUUUAUAGCUAAAUUUCUAACUAAACUUCAGUUUAAAUUGGGAUAACUAAUUUCUAUUCAAAUAACAAAGGAAUAACUAAUUCCUAAGUCUAGGGAACAUAGAACUCUAAUAAUUUAAAACCACUAAAAUUAUCUACUCCUACUUUAUUUUUCAAAGGCAGAAACUCUUUAAAAAAAGUUUUGUCAUAUGUCAUGUGGUUUGUACAACCAGUUUAAAUUGGGAUAACUAAUUUCUAUUCAAAUAACAAAGGAAUAACUAAUUCCUAAGUCUAAGGAACAUAGAACUCUAAUAAUUUAAAACCACUAAAAUUAUCUACUCCUACUUUAUUUUUCAAAGGCAGAAACUCUUCAAAAAAAGUUUUGUCAUAUGUCAUGUGGUUUGUACAACCACUAUCAAUCAUCCAAAAAUCAGAUUUCUUGGUUGAAGAAUAUGUUGCCACAAAUAAGUGAUCUUUUUCUUCUUCUUUGGUGACUUGGGCAUCUGCUUCAUAUUUUUGAGUUUUGUUUUUGCAAAUCACAGCUUCAUGGCCAAGCUGAUUGCAGAUCUUGCAUUGUGCAUCUGGUUUCUUCCAAUAUUUAAAUAGAGGAUGACCUAUUUUGCCACUCUUGAAUUAUUACCCUUGAUUUGAGUCUUGGAGUUGGCUGCCAAAGCUCCUUCAAUCAUACCAUCCUACCUCAUAAACCUCCUUUGCUAUUGCGCCUGCAAUGUAUUUAACAAUUCUGCCAAAGUAAUCUUGGACAAGUCUUUCGUGUUUUCCAAGGUAAUAAUUGAUACUUCGUAUCUUUCGGGCACUAUAACAAGAAUUUUUUUCAACAAUUCUUGAAUCUUUAAAUUUUGUGCCAAGCAAUCUUACCUUGUUAACAAUGCUAAGAAGUCGGUCUGAGUACUCUUUGACGGUCUCAGAUUCCUUUAUCUUUAUCCCAAAUUUCUUUUGUUGAUUUAAAGGCCAUAAUUCUCGUGAAAAUUGUUGGAGACACACUAGCAAACAAAGUUGCUUUUGCCUAUGAUUUUCUGAUUUUCUUUUUCUUUUGGCUUUUGAUCUGAAUCACCGUGGGAUUAUCGGCCAGCGGAAGAACAUCAUAAUCCUCCUCCACAGCCUCCCAAAGAUCUAAAGCCUUCUUACUACCCAAAGAUGGUAAUUUUCUUUUUUGAUUUUCUUUUCCUUUUGACUUUUGAUCUGGGUCACUGUGGGAUUAUCCGGCAGCGGAAGAACAUCAUAAUACUCUUCCACGGCCUCCCAAAGAUCUAAAGCCUCAAGAUAAGUCUCCAUUCUUACUGCCCAAACAUGGUAAUUUUCACCAUCAAAAACAGGAGGAGCUAUUUGAGAAAAGUUUUCAGAAUUCAUCUUAGUGCCCCAACAUGGUAAUUUUCACCAUCAAAGACAAGAAGGAGCUAUUCUUACUGCUUCUUGGUAAUUUUCACCAUCAAAGAAAGGAGGAGCUAUUCUUACUGCUUCUUUUCCUUUUAACUUUUGAUCAGGGUCACCAUGGGAUUAUCCGGCAGCGGAAGAACAUCAUAAUCCUCCUCCACGGCCUCCUAAAGAUCUAAAGCCUCAAGAUAAGUCUCCAUUCUUACUGCCCAAACAUGAUAAUUUUCAUCAUCAAAGACAAUUUUUCAUCUCAUCAUCAAAGACAGGAGGAGCUAUUUGGGAGCCUCAAGAUAAGUCUCCAUUCUUACUGCCCAAGCAUGGUAAUUUUCACCAUCAAAGAUAGGAGGAGCUAUUUGAGAAAAGUUUUCAGAAUUCAUUUUAGUGCCCAAACAUGGUAAUUUUCACCAUCAAAGACGGGAGGAACUAUUCUUACUGCCCAAACAUGGUAAUUUUCACCAUCAAAGACGGGAGGAACUAUUCUUACUGCCCAAACAUGGUAAUUUUCACCAUCAAAGACAGACAUGGCAAUUUUCACCAUGGAGGAUUUCACCAUGGUAAUUUUCACGAUCAAAGACAGACAUGGUAAUUUUCACCAUCGAGGAUUUCACCAUCGAGGAUUUCACCAUCAAAGACAGGAGGAGCUAUUCUUACUGCCCGAACAUGGUAAUUUUCACCAUGGAGGAGCUAUUUAGGAAAAGUUGUUUUCAGAAUUCAUCUCACAGAUCCCUCAAGAACCUGGCUCUACUACCAUGUAAAGAAUGGAACUUGGGCCUAACUCAACCUCAAAAGCUAGCUCAUGAGGAGAGGAUUGCCCAAGUCCAUAUAAGGAGACCAAGUACCCAUCCCUUUUCCGAUGUGGGAUACUUAACAAACUGUAUCAGUGUUGUAUCGUCCAAUAUGGCCAGUGCAUUAGUUUAACACCUGUGGUCCCACAAAGUGAGGUACGGGGAGGGUAGAGUAUAGACAAACGUUACCCCCACCGAAGAGGUAGAAAGGUUGUUUUCGAUAGACCCUCGGCUCAAGGAAAAAUAGUCCAAAACAGUCCAUAAAAAGAAGUAACGAAAGUGAAAGCAUAACAAAACAAAAUACUACAAUAAUCAAAGUACAAGAAACAACAAAUAAUAAUGACUAAACAAAGUAUAGAUAUAUGCACAUAAAGCCCUACUAAAAUCUGAAAAAUAUUAAGUUCGAACCCAUAACUUUAACACUAGUUGAACUCAUUUAAGUUUAAAUCCUGGGUCCGUCUCGUCAUGCGCUGAAUCUUCUAAAUAUGGAAUAUUGAACUGAAAAAUUACCUGAAAGCAAUAGCAAUAUCACUCCCAAAUUUCUCAAGAGCCCUUAUCCAUGACCUCCAAAGGAGAAGCAUUUGUUAGCUCCUUUGCCAGUUUCUCAUAAUCCUCUGCCUCUUCUGCCUCUGCUUUCUCAUCAACUUCUACACCCCAAAUUUUAAAAAGAAAAAAAAGAAACAGAAAAAAAAGGUUAUUUACACAAAUAGCCAAACAUAUCACUCUCAAAACUUGCACCAAGCAAACAAUAUGAUCCAAUUAAAACAACACGUGGCAUUACAAGAAAUGAUCUCCUCACAAGUUGAAUAAAACCCUCUUAUGUAGCAUAUUACUUACUCAUGCACAACCUUUGAGCUUUUUGAGAAGAAAUUGUAAAAACAGGAAGUGACCCACAAAAGUAUAUGAAAAGCUGAAUAAUCAGGCCAAAAAAAAGAAAAAGAAAAACGAAAAACGUCAGGGAAUCGUAUGACUAUUUUCCAAAGAUAGGACCAAAAAGUGACUAAUAGGCAUUGUUUCUACUUGUCUUUCAUUGUUGUACCUUCUAAGCGAAUGGAAAGCUUAGACCAAGAAACUAAAAGCUUGUCCAGAUAAAUUCACUUUAACGUUAUGCCCAUUGUUUGUUGUGGUAUCCCAUACACGACAUCAAACGACAACAUCUUUAUAACUGUUCAUUACCUUAACCAAAAGGAGGGUGUCAUGACCUGUAUUAAUGGUUGCGUGAGAGACAUACAUUAGGGUCACGCGAGAGGCACAGACAGUCCACUUCAAUAUAAACACAGUGAACUAUUGUGAAGGAGGGAACGAAUUAGGGGACGACCCGGUUCAUACCUACUCCGUAGGUGUCGGGGAGGGGGGGACCACUCCGGGCCUGACCUACGCGCCCUCACCCCAGCUUCGCUGGAGGGGCGUUUCGAACCCCCGACUCUGGCACACCACGGUAAGCAAGCUUACCGCUGAGCCAAGGAGGGAACGAAUUAUUUUGGUAAAAUCCCAACGAUCUUUUCCUCUCAUUCUCUCAUUUCUCUCUCUUCUUCCUAACUACUUCUUUUUCCUCCUCUUGACUAAUUCUAUCCAUAAUCGCCAUUGAAGGUGACGAUUGGAGCUUCCAUGGAGACUUAUCUUUCGUAGUAUCCAAUUCAAUUGAUCAAUUGUAAUAGCUAGUUCGUAUUGAAUUUGGAUUAGCAAUAAAAAUUUCCCUUUCACGAUUUCAAUUUUUCUUUCAUUAUCAAAGUACAUAACAGAGGGGAUGUUGUUGAAGGAAGGCUAGUGACUGGAGUGAAGUCAUAAUGAGGUAGCCGUAGCCAACAAAUAUCCAGGGAAACGACUCAUGGGUUUCAUUGAUUGGCAAUUAUAUACACAUUGAGUGGGGAUAUUGCAAUUCGCAGUGUGUGUUAUCCACUUAAGAUAAAAUGAGCACAGUAUAAUUAUUUGUAUAUUCAUGAAGACUUGAUCAGGAAAAGAAAAAUUGCUCAACCAAGACUUUGCAUAAUCACGGAACAAUCAAAACAAGGCCCUUAACAAAAAAGAGCAUCCCAGUGUACUAAGUCCCGCUAUGCGUGGGGUCGGGGAAGGCCCGGACUACAAGGGUCUAUUGUAUGCAGUCUUACUCGGCAUUAUUGCAAGAGGUUGUUUCAAAAACAAGCCCCUUUAUAUUGAUACGAAAAACUGAGUACAUAGAAAUCAAGCUCUGACCUAAGAUGGAUGUAAAAAGAAAAGUUCAAAUGGAAAAAUAAGGGAGAGGACUAAGAGGACAGUAUACUUACUACCCAACUUCUAUACAACCACAAGUCCAUUUUUCUCGUUUAACUUGUAGCGUCCAGGGCAGCUUAAACACAACUUUAGUAUAGCAGAAUAGCUUCUCAUCAAGUAGCUAAGAAUUCUAUUUGACACAUAUUUAGCCAAAGAGCAAUCAAUUGGAAGCUCAUACAUUAGUUUGGAUACAAAAUAGUACAAUUAUCUUCAGCAUUAAGAAAAUCAAAAUGAUAAAGCCAGAAUAGACAAGAGCUGAAGCAGAUGAAGCCUUUUGGUUGUGUUCAUCUGAACCUGUAACUUUAGACACAAAGUAUAGAUAUACAACAAUAUACCUCUGACAACAUAACAAAGGAACGGAUCUAGUAUCCUCAAUUUUAAACAACGAAACUCUAAUUUUAAACCAGACCAAAAUUAACCUAAAUGCACAUGACCAGGUUCAUGCUCAAAGUGCUAAAUAUAAAUCAGAAUAUGUGAAACAGUUCAAUUAGGCAAGAAAUGUUGCAAAACAUAUAGAAGCCAGAGAUUAACUAAAUCAACCAGCCAUCAGGGCAGUAAUCUCUAACGCUUGAGAAUCCAAUUGAAUUUGCAGAUCUUUCUUCCCCUUAGGCUAAGUAAACCUUCACCCAAGAGUGUGCUGGCCUGAGAGAAAACAAAGGAAAAUAGUCAGAUCAAGAUUCGAGGAAAACAGACCAACGUAAUUAAGGUAAGAAAGCAUACCCGAUCCAAGGCUUGUAAGCCCUCCUCAAACAAAUGUUCCUACGGCGACCCAUCCAAUCCAAUUUCACACCUUGGAGGGCAAGAGGAAGUAUCUGGAUUGACAGAGAAACCUGAAAUACUAACCCUUUCCAAAGCAUUGCCAACCUGAGGGAGUUCUAACUCUAUCAGGGCUUCGGUGGAGGGGAAAAAUAAAGGAAACACAGGCUGAUUAGAGCAUGGCUGUUUGGGCAAGAUAGCUCACAUUCAUACUUAAUUUGAUUCAUGGGUCGUCUAUCCACCAAAGCCCGCAGCGAAAAUAUUUUUUAUUUUUUUAUUUUUUCUUAACAGUUUUUGCCCAAGAUAGUGUUUGCAUAAUCAUACAACAACAACAACAUACCCAGUGUAUUCCCACCUAGUGGGGUCUGGGGAGGGUAGAGCGUACUCAGAACAUACCACUACCUCAAGAGAAGUAGAGAGGUUGUUUCCGAUAGACCCCCGGCUUAGGACCAAUAACAGUAUAACAAAUACAAAAAGUAAGCGGAUACAAACUAGUAUGGUACACAAAACAAACUAACAGUAUAACAAACACAAAAGAUAAGUGCAUAAUAAACUAGUACGGGAUGCAAAAAAGCCAACACCACUAACCGCAAAAACUACAGCCCCAACACUACGAACCAGAAACUCCAGACCCAAAGGAGCACUCCCCUAUUAUUACCGCCGCGCUCCCACCCCCUAACCCUCUACCCUAAUCCGCGUCCUCCACACCUUCCUAUCAAGGGUCAUGUCUUCUGUAAGCUGUAAUUGCUCCAUAUCAUGCCUAAUCACCUCCCUCCAAUAUUUCUUGGGUCUACCUCUAGCCCGCCUAAAACCAUCCAUAGCCAGAGUCUCACACCUCCGCACUGGAGCAUCAGGGCCCCUCCUCAUCUUCAUACAUUAUACACUGAUUACAUAUACGUAAGUUUGUAGAUGCUCCAUGACUUGUCCUCGUGGCUUGAGACUUUAAGAAUACGCAGGACCCAUUGACGAAGAUCUGCUACGACAUCCGACGUCCAUUUGGUGGUUGAUAAAGGAAAAAGAUAGGAGAAGAGAAUGAAGUUAAAGGAGAAAAUUAUAAUAUAACCCUAAAAAUGGUUGUCCUUUCUCAUUUACGAUUCAUGUUCCAUGCCUCUGGGAAGCGAAGAUGAUUGUCCAGGAUAAUCCUAGAAUUUCUCACAUAUACGAAUCUCUCCAUCCAACGACGAUCUUUCAGCUCAUCUACGCUCGACAAAGACCUUAUUUUCCUCGCUUGACGAGAUAUACAACCCCAUCGCGAAAAGUUCGUAGAGAAUAGAGACGCACGCAUCAAGUAGCUUAAAGUGAAAGUUGCAGUAGGACCAAAAGCUUUUACAGACAAGAAAAGGAUGUAGGCGAUGCUCCUCCAUAUAGCCGGACCUAUCCAGACCUAUUUGAGCAAGGCAAACGUUAUAGCAUUUCCACAAAAUCUAAAAUUACUGGGUCAACCACCGACUUAAAACGUAAGGUGAAUGGAUAAGUAUAUACAUUGGAAAACCUAGAUUUGAAAGAGGUUAUAGCAUCGGGAAUAAAGAUUUCAAUAACCAAAUCCCACUGACAUUCCACCAGGAUGACUUCAAAAAUAGAAGAAUCAAUCAUCGAACGAUAGUUUUCAAUUAGUUCACCCUUAUUGCUCAUAGUAGAUGGUUGUCGUUUGGUAUAGUCACAAUCCCAAUUGCAACUCACUGGAAAAAUUGAAUCCAGUUCCGAGCCAACAUCAACGACGGAAAAACCAUAAGAACAACGGUAAGCAGAAGAGAUUAAAAAAGUCUUAGCCAUCUAUGAGAAUGUUACUAGACAAAUUUGUUGUUGAUAGAGUGAAGCAGUUUACUCCAUGACAGAAAGCCACAAUAAAACAAGAUAGAGAAGAAGAGGAAAGAAAUUUCAUCGGGAAUUUGACUCAUCAUUGCGGCGUUUCAAUAAUAUAUAAAUCGGCCCCAAAGACCACUAGCACGCUAAGACGUGUUUUGGAAAAGUCUUUGAUGCAUUUAAUGGAGAAGAUCUUCUUUCUUAUGGAAGAUACUCCCUCCAACACGUUAUGGAAGGAGUAGCUUCCAUACGAAGGAAGAUCUUCUCCAUUAAAUGUGUCCUGACAUAUGAAAGACAUUUUCAAAACACGUGUUAGCGUGUGAUUUGUCUUUGGGGCCAGUUUAUAUAUUAUUGAAGUGCCGCAAUGAUAAGUCAAAUUCCUAUGAGAUUUGUUUCCCCUUCUUCUUUAUCAUGUUUUCCUGUAACUUUCUAUCAUCGAGUAAACUACCGAUUUUUUCUUCUUUGCUCUAUCAACAACAAAUUUGUCUCUUAACAUUCUCAUAGAUGGCUAUGACUUCUUCGAUUUCUUCUGCCUACCGUCGCUUCAUGCUUUUUCUAUAGCUGAUGCUGGCUUCGAACUAGAUUCUAUUCUUCCAGUGAGUUACAAGUGGUCUUGUGACUGUACCGAACGACAAAAUCAACUGUAAGCGAUAGGGACGAACCAGUCGAAAAUUAUCAUUCGUUGAUAGAUUCUUCAAUUUUUGAAGUCGUCCGGGGGGACUGUCGCUGGGAUAGUGUUACCGAAAUCCUUAUUCCUGAUGCUAUAACCUCCUUCAAAUCGAGGUUUUCCAAUGUAUAUACUUAUCCAUUCACCUUAGGUUUUAAGCCUGCGAUUGACCCAGUAAUUUUAGAUCUGUACAAAUGCUAUAACAUUUGUCUUGCUUAAAUAGGCCCGGCGGUAUGAAGGACCGUCGCCUGCCUCCGUUACUUGUCCGUAAAAGCUGUUGGUCUUAAUGCAGCUUUCACUAAAAGCCACUUGAUGCGUCUCUAUUCUCCUCAGACUUUUCGAGGUGGGGUUGUAUAUCUCAUCAAGCGAGGAAAAUCAGGUCUACUGUUGAGCGUAGAUGAGUCGAAAGAUCGUUGUUGGAUGGAGAGAUUCGUAUCUGUGAGGACUUCUGCGAUUAUCCCGGACAAUCAUCUUCCCUUCCCAGAGGCGUGGAACAUGAAUCGUAAGUGAGAAAGGAGGACCAUUUUUAGGGUUAUAUUAUAAUUUUCUCUUUUAACUGAAAUCUCUCUUCUUAUACUUUUCCUCUAUCAGCCAGCAAAUGGAGGCCGAAUGUCGUGGCACAUCUUUGUCAAUGAGUUCAGCGCAUUCAUGAAGUCUCUUGCCAUGAGGACAGGUCAUGGAAAAAAAAUCGGAAAAUCGUUAAAAUGCGAAAAAUCAGUACGCUCCUUCAUAUAUCUGCUUACGAGAUUUUGAUGUUUGUAAAAGAAAUACUCGAGUAUCAUUCUCCUUAUCUUAUACAAACGUGUAACCCCCAUGUUAUUGCAACCAAAGUUGCAAUUUCUCCAAUACUUUGGUUACGUACGUACUGCUCCAUGCUAUCAUCCCCAAACUUAUGUAUAAUGUAUGAACAUGAUUUAUGCAAAAACUACCCUGGGUAAAAUUUGUUAAAAAAAAUAAAAGAAUUAGGAUUAUUUUUGUUACGGGCAUUGUUGGAUAGACGGCCCAUGACAAAUUAAGUAUGAAUACGAGUGAUCGUGCAAAAGAUACACUUAAUUAAGCAUUUAAAUAUAUCUACUUUAUUUAGAAGUAAAACCAAUUAAAGAUGAAAAAUGAAUUCAGUGUCUAGAGUUAUUAGUGGUUGGGAUAAUUGACAAGUGUGAACUUAUUUUAUGUUUACUUUUUAGUGUGAACUUGAAGCCUAUGUUAACAGGUCUCCCUUCUAAGAAGGUGGUGGUGGCAUAUUCGGAUGUUGAUCCAAGGACGUCUGGUGGCCGGAUUGCGUAGCUAAGAUGAACAAUAGAAAGUUGGUUUCUACUACCCGUGGUAAGUGUUCUUCAUCCUCACAAACCCCAUUUUUAGAAAAACAGAGGCGGCUUGUGAACGCUAGUUCCCUUGCACGCGCUGUUAGCGAUGGGUACUGCAUGCGUACUCAAGAUGAAGUUUCCCCGCCUCUUCAUAUCAAUGUUGCAUCCUCCAAUAGGACCAGUGCACUAGUUUAACACCUGUGGUCCCACGAAGUAAGGUCUGGGGAGGGUAGAGUAUACCCAAACCUUACCCCUACCACAGAGGCGGAGAGGUUGUUUCCAAUAGAACCUCAGCUCAAGGAAAUAUAGUCCAAAGCAGUCCAGAAAAAGAAGUAACGGAAGUGAACGCAUACCAAAACAAAAUAUUACAAUAAUCAAAGUACAAGCAAAAAUAAAUAAUAACGACUAAACGAAGUAUAGAUACAUGCAUAUAAAGUCCUAAUAAAAUCAGAAAAAAUAUUAAGUUUGAACCAAUUACUUUAACACUACAAUUAUUUCAAUGCUGAGAAUCUUAAAAGUCGAACUCAAGUUUAAAUCCUGGAUCCACCUCGUCAUGAGCAGAAUCUUCUAAAUACAGAAUAUUGAACUGAAAAAUUACCUGAACGCAAUAGCAAUAUCACUCUCAAAUUUCUCAAGAGCCUUAUCCAUAAUCUCCAAAGGAGAAGCAUUUGUUAGAUCCUUUGCCAGUUUCUAAUAAUCCUCUGCCUCUGCUUUUUCUUCAACUUCUACACCCUAAAUCAAAAAAAGAAAAAAAGAGAUCUUUACACAAAUAGACAACCAGAUUUAUUGUAUACUUUUUCUAGCGAGUUUAUUGUGGCAUUACAAGAAAUUGCACCAAGCAAACAACAUGAUCUAAUUUGUGGCAUUACAAGAAAAGAUCUCUUCACAAGUUGAAUAAACCCUCCUAUGUAGUAUAUAACUUAAUCACGUAUAAAAGAGCACAAUAAGUAUAAGGCAGGAUUAGUGACCGGAGUGAAAUCAUAACGAGCUAGUCAUAGCCAAUUAUAUACACACUGAGUAGGGAUAUUGCAAUUUGCAGUCAGUAUUAUCCACUUAAGAAAAAUGAGCACACUACAAUUAUUUGUAUCUUCGUGAAGGCUAAGGAAAAGAGAAAUCGCACAACCAAGACUUUGCAUAAUCAAGAAGCAACCAAUACAAGCCCCUUUAUCAAAAAAACGCAGCCUAGUGCAUACACGGAAUUCAGAAAAGGGUCGAACCACAAGGGUCUAUUGUACACAGCCUUACCAUACAUUUUUGCAAGAGGCUGUUUCAAAAAACAAGCCCCUUUAAUUUAUAUUGACUCAAACAACUGAGUCCCUAAAAUCAAGUUCCGACCAAAGAUGGAUAUAAAAAGGAAAAAGAAGGGAGACGACUAAGAGGACAGUAAAUUUUACUACCUAACUUCUAUACAACCACAAGUCCCUUUUUCUUGAUCACUGUGUCCAGACCAGCUUGCGCGAAACUUUUGUACUGCUGAAUAGCUUCUCACCAAAAUAUGUAAAAACAGUAUAUGUAUUUCACCUGUGGGCAUUCACAAAAGCCGGCAAGGAGUCUACGUCUCUCUUCUCUGACCAGUACUUAACCGGCUGUGAAGAAUACCUAGGGAAGAAGAAUAUAGUAGGGAAGCUGCAAUUCUUUUUGUGCAAAAGCUUUCUGGUCACCAUCUUCCCUGAACUUCCCUACCUUCACACCAGAACUUGCCAACUUCUCCGCCAAUUCAACAUAGGAUCCUUCCAUUGCCGGUACAAAAUAAGAAAAAAGAUCAUUAAAAUAAUCCCCAAAUACCAUCAGGAUGGGAAAUAAAGGGGAAUGCUGCAUUUUCAAAACAUGGCUACAUACGUUAAAAGUCACCAAGUUUUCAACAAAUAUUAAAUUCUAAAAUCGUAAUGCCAAAAGUACACUAUGUUCAAGUCCUAAGAAACAUAAAGGUUGAACAAAUCAAAUUCAAAUCUAGGAUCAGCUUCGGUGGAGAUAGAAAAAGUUGUUGAUGAGAAGAUAAAUUACCUGGCAAAAGCGGUGUGCAUAAAGAACAACAAGCCAACACUCACUUCGAUUUUCCAACUUUAAUAGAUUCUUAAUUCCAGGCCUACUCAAGCUUACAAUGUCCUUGGUGUCAAAAAUAUCAGCAACAGCAGCGCUACCAUUUGCAUUGACUGCGGUAUUUCCAUUACCGUUUGUGCUUUCAUCCUUGAUGUUGCCCUUAUGUAAGCCACACUCCUUGGCCUUGGAAUCCUCCCACCACCACCUUCCUUCUCGCUCAUGUUGGCCAGGUAGUACCGCCUGCUUGCAAGGUUCGGAUCCGACAGAAAUGUAACCUUGUGCAUGCAAUGAUUUCACUGCAACAUUCAUGGCUUGCAGGAAAUUCCAAAUAUCCUUGCCAUCCACAUUAGCAACCGGAUUCCACUUCACCAAACUAUCAGUUCUACCAUCCAACCUCUCGAACGAAGGGUCAACCUGAACAAUGGGAAUUUCAGAUCGAAGUAUCAGGGGAUUGAUCUUUACGUUUUCCCGUGAUCCAUGCACGUAAAUCUUUUGAGGGCGCUCCUCAAGGGCCUAGCUUUCCUUAUGCGGCAGCAUUCUAGGUGGCCAUCUUCAUUGUAAGAGAAGAGGCCCUUGUUCCUCACUAAAGCCUGACCUUCAACAGCAAUAGGGAACAUAUAUUCAAUACGAAUCCCAUAGUGCUUCUCCACUGCGUCAAAUAAUGGUAGGUUUCCAGAUUCAAUCUCCCAGUAUCAAGGCUGAAUACUCUAAAUGGAUGCCCAGUUAAUUGAGCAUACUCUAACAAAGCAACAUCUUCAGCACCAAUGCAAAAUAAGGAUAUAAUUUAGGAGCUGCAUCAGUGAGAUAACAUAUCUGGAAAGUCAUUUGAUAGCAAACUCUUAAAGGAAACAUACAUUUCUCAUAAAAAAGUAGAACACAUAUACCAGGCUAAUCAAUCAUAAAUGACCAAAAAAUGAAAUGUCAUCAUGGCCUUUAGAAUCAUCAUCUCAAUUCUCAUUGCAGCAAAUGGAACUUUGACUAGUGAUUGAUAUCAUAAAAGAUAGCAAAUUGCAAAGCAACAAAAGUUCCUUUAAGUAAGAAACCAAUCAAUGAAACUAGUUAGCAAGUUCAAAACAGACGACAUCAACGAAAUAUGAAUUGCAACGUCCUAUACUACACUGAUUAAAUCAUUAUACCCAUGAAAGGUUUUGGAUUAAAUCAAAUCACGUUCAUACAUUAUACUAAGAUUAUACAUAUACAUAAGUUUGCAGAUGAGAGAAUGGAGCAGUACGUACUUAACGAAAGUAGUGGAGAACUUGCUACUUCGGUAGCAAUAGCAUGUGGGUUACAAGUUUGUAAAAGGAGAAAGAUGCUCCAAUAUUUCUUUUACAAACAUCUAAAUCACGAAUGCAGAUAUGUGAAGGAGUGAAUCAUGCUUUUUUGCAAUCCAAUGAUUUUUGGAUAUUUUCUUCCAUUACUUGUCCUCGUGGCUUGAGACUUUAAGAAUACGCAGGACUCACUGACGAAGAUCUGCAACGGCAUCCGGAGUCCAUUUGGUGGUUGCUAAAGGAAAAAGAUAGGAGAAGAGAAUGAAGUUAAAGGAGAAAAUUAUAAUAUAACCCUAAAAAUGGUUGUCCUUUCUCAUUUACGGUUCAUGUUCCACGCCUCUGGGAAGGGAAGAUAAUUGUCUGGGAUACUCUCAGAAAUUCUCACAUAUACGAAUCUCUCCAUCCAAUGACGAUCUUUCGGCUCAUCUACGAGCGACAGAAGACCUGAUUUUCCUCGCUUGACGAGAUAUACAACCCCAUUUCGAAAAGUUCGAAGAGAAUAGAGAUGCAUCAAGUAGCUUAAAGUGAAAAUUGCAUUAGGACCAAAAGCUUUUACAGACAAGUAAAGGAUGCAGGCGAUGCUCCUACAAACCGCCGGACCUAUUUGAGCAAGGAAAAUGUUAUAGCAUUUCCACAAAUCUAAAAUUAUCGGAUCAAUCACCGGCUUAAAACGUAAGGUGAAAGGAUAAGUAUAUAUAUUGAAAAACCCAGAUUUGAAAGAGGUCAUAGCAUCAGGAAUAAGAAUUUCAAUAACCAAAUCCCAACGACAUUCCACCAGGAUAACUUCAAAAAUAGAAGAAUCAAUCACCGAACGAUAGUUUUCUACUGGUUCACCCCAUCGCUCAUAGUAGAUGGUUGUCGUACAGUCUAGUCACAAUCCCAAUUGUAACUCACUGGGAAAAUAAAACCUAGUUCCGAGCCAGCAUCAGCGACGGAUAAAGCAUGAGAACAACAGUAAGCAGAAGAAAUUGAAGAAGUCUUAGCAGCCAUCUAUGAGAAUGUUAAGAGACAAAUUUGUUGUUGAUAAAGCGAAGAAGAAAAAAACUGCAGUUUACUCCAUGACAGAAAAGUCACAAUAAAACAAGAUAGAAAAGAAGAGGAAACAGAUCUCAUAGGGAAUUUGACUCAUCAUUGCAACACUUCUAUAAUAUAUAAAUCGGUCCCAAAGACUUAUCGCACGCUAACACGUGUUUUGGAAAAGUCUUUCAUAUGUCAAGAUGCAUUUAAUGGAGAAGAUCUUCUUUCUUAUGGAAGAUACUCCUUCCAGCACGUUAUCGAAGGAUUGGCUUCCAUAAGAAAGAAGAUCUUCUCCAUUAAAUGUGUCCUGACAUAUGAAAGACGUUUUCAAAACACGUGUUACCGUGCGAUUGGUCUUUGGGGACAAUUUAUAUAUUAUUGAAGUGCCGCAUUGAUAAGUCAAAUUCCCUAUGAGAUUUGUUUCCUCUUAUUCUUUAUCGUGUUUUACUAUGACUUUCUAUCUUCGAGUAAACUACCGAUUAUUUCUUCUUCGCUCUAUCAACAACAAAUUUGUCUCUUAACAUUCCCAUAGAUGGCUAAGACUUCUUUGAUUUCUUCUGCCUACUGUCGUUUCAUGCUUUUUCUGUCGCUGAUGGCUCCGAACUGGAUUCUAUUCUUCCAGUGAGUUACAAGUGGUCUUGUGAUGUACCGAACGACAACAAUCUACUGUGAGCGAUAAGGGCGAACCAGUUGAAAAUUAUCGUUCGUUGAUAGAUUCUUCUAUUUUUGAAGUCGUCCGGGGGGACUGUCGCUAGAUAAGGUUACCGAAAUCCUUAUUCCUGAUGUUAUAACCUCCUUCAAAUCGGGGUUUUCCAAUGUAUAUACUUAUCCGUUCACCUUAGGUUUUAAGCCUGCGAUUGACCUAGUAAUUUUAGAUCUGUGCAAAUGCUAUAACAUUUGCCUUGCUUAAAUAGGUCCAGCGGUAUGGAGGACCGCCGCCUACCUCCGUUACUUGUCCGUAAAAGCUUUUGGUCAUAAUACAGCUUUCACUUUAAGCCACUUCAUGCAUCUCUAUUCUCCUCAAACUUUUCGAGGCGGGGUUGUAUAUCUCAUCAAGCAAGGAAAAUCAGGUAUUCUGUCAAGCAUGGAUGAGUCGGAAAAUCAUCGUUGGAUGGAGAGAUUCAUAUCAGUGAGGACUUCCGAGAUUGUCCUGGACAACCAUUUUCCCUUCCCAGAGGCGUGGAACAUGAAUCGUAAGUGAGAAAGGAGAACCAUUUUUAGGGUUGUGUUAUAAUUUUCUCUUUUUAACUCAAAUCUCUUCUCCUAUAUUUUUCCUUUAUCAGCCAGCAAAGGGAGGCUGAAUGUCAUAGCGCAUCUUCAUCAAUGAGUUCAGCACAUCCAUGAAGUCUCUUGCCAUGAGGACGAGUCAUGGAAAAAAUAUCGAAAAAUCGUUAAAUUGCGAAAAAUCAGUACGCUCCUUCAUAUAUCUGCCUACGAGAUUUUGAUGUUUGUAGAAGAAAUACUCGAGUACCAUUCUCCUUAUCUUAUACAAACGUGCAACCCCUAUGCUAUUGCAACCAAAGUUGCAAUUUCUCCAAUACUUUGGUUACGUACGUACUGCUCCAAUCUAUCAUCCCCAAACCUUAUGUAUUAUGUAUGAACAUGAUUUAUGCAAAAACUAUCAUGGGUAAAAUUUGUUAAAAAAAUAAAGAAUUAGGAUUAUUUUUGUUGCGGGCAUUGUUGGAUAGACAGCCAAUGACAAAUUAAGUAUGAACGCGAGCAAUCGUGCAAAAGAUACACUUAAUUAAGCAUUUAAAUAUAUCUACUUUCUUUAGAAGUAAAACCAAUUAAAGAUGAAAAAUCUAGAGUUAUUAGUGGUUGGGAUAAUUGACUAGUGUUAACUUAUUUUACGUUUACUUUUUAGUGUGAACUUGAAGCCUAUGUUAAAAGGUCUCCCUUCUAAGAAGGUGGUGGUGGCAUAUCCGGAUGUUGAUCCAAGGGCGUCUGGUGGCCGACUUGCCGAAGCUAAGAUGAACAAUAGAAAGCUGGUUUCUACUAACCGUGGUAAGUAUUCUUCAUCCUCACAACCCCCACUUUUAGAAAAGCAGAGGCGGUUUGUGAAGGCUAGUUCCCUUGCACCCGUUGUUAGCGAUGGGUACUACGUGCAUACUCAAGAUGAAGUUUCCCCGACUCUUAGCAACAGUGUUGCAUCCUCCAAUAGGACCGGUGCAUUAGUUUAACACCUAUGGUCCCACAAAGUGAGGUGGGGAGAGUACAAUAUAGCCAAACCUUACCCCUACUACAGAGGUAGAGAGCCUGUUACCAAUAGACCCUCAGCUCAAGGAGAAAUAGUCCAAAGCAGUCCAGAAAAAGAAGUAACGAAAGUGAAAGCAUAACAAAACAAAAUAUUACAAUAAUCAAAGUACAAGAAACGACAAAUAAUAACGACUAAACGAAGUAUAGAUACAUGCAUGUAAAGUCCUACGAAAUUCAGAAAAAAUAUUAAGUUUGAACCCAUUACUUUAACACUACAAUGAUUUCAAUGAUUUCUCACCAGGAUAAGUAAAAACAGUAUAUGUCUUUCACCUGAGGGCAUUCACAAAAGACAGCAAGGAGUCUACGUCCCUCUUCUCCGACCAGUACUUAAUCGACUGUGAAGAAUGCCUAGGGAAGAGUAUUGUAGGGAAGCUACCAAGCUGCAAUUCUUUUUGUGCAAAAGCUUUCUGGUCACCAUCUUCCCUACCUUCACACCAGAACUUGCCAACUUCUCCGCCAAUUCAACAUAGGAUCUUUCCAUUAAUUUAAUCCCCAAACACCAUCAGGCUGGGAAGUAAAGGGGAAUGCAGCAAUUUCAUAACAUGGCUAUAUACGUGAAAAGUCACCAAGUUUUCAACAACUAUCAAAUUCUAAAAACGUAAUGCCAAAAGUACACUAUGCUCAGUGCUAAGAACCUUAAAGGUUGAACUAAUCAAAUUCAAAUCUAGGAUCAGCCUCAGUGGAGAAAGAAAAAGUUGAUGAGAAAAUAAAUUACCUGGCAAAAGCGGUGUGCAUAAAGAACAAGAAGCCAAGGCUCACUUCGAUUCACCAACUUCAAAAGAUUCUUAAUUUCAGGCCUACUCAAGCUUACAAUGUGUCCUUGCUGGAAAGUUAUUUGAGAGACAUCUUAAAGGAAAUCAACAUUUCUGAUAAACAAGUAGAACAGCACAUGUACCAAUCCUAAAUGACCAAAAACCGAAAUAGCAUCAUGACCUCUAAAAUCCUCAACGCAUUAACUGGUGAUUCAUUUGGUAAAAUUAAUAAAUUGCAAUGCAACACGAGUUCUCUUUAGUGAGAAGCGUAUCAAUGACACUAGCUUGAAAUGUUCAUUUACAUUUAGGAGAUAUGAUACUCCGCCUCGAGUAGUUCCUAUGAAACAACAAUUAGGCCAGUUUUUAUUAAGUAAAAACCAACAUGAUAAAACUUGUUCAUAGUACAAUGCUUAAAUUCAGUCACUUCAAGCAUGCAUCAUAGCUUGUUUAAUGAGAAUGCGUAAAUUGCAAUGCAACAAGAGUAGUACAAUGCUUAAAUUGCAAUGCAACAAGAGUUCUCUUUAGUGAGAAACACAUCAAUGAAACUAGCGGGCAAUGUUCAUAUACAUUUAGGAGAUAUGAUAAUCCACCUCGAGAAGUUCCUAUGAAACAAAAAUUAGGCCACUUUUUAUUAAGUAAAAAACAACAUGAUAAAACUUAUUCGUGGUACAAUGCUUGAAUUCAGUCACUUCAAGCGUGAGACACACACAACAAAAAUGAUAAAAUUCACUGAUCUUAAUCACAUUUACGGAGAAUCUUAGUAGCCCAGGUGGUUGACUACCUACCUGAACUUUACCAUAUUGCUGGUGAGGGUUCGGUUCCCCACCUUGUAAUCCCCUCCCCCGUUUUUGCUUUCCCUAACCCCAUUUUUAAAAACAAGAUCAUACUUUUAAGUGCAAAGAUUGAAACUUUGAGAACAAAAACCAAAAAAAAUGGAAAAAAAAAAGAAUAUAAAAUAGUACAAGCAUCUUCAGCAUAACAAAUUAACUCAAUAAAUUAAGUAACAGCCCAGAGCACAAAGUUCCGGCUAUGUGUGGGGUCUGAGGCAGGGCCAGACCACAUGUGUAUAUGGUACGCAGUCUUACCCUGCAUUUCCACAAAAACGUGACCUCCUUAUCGCAUGGUAGCAACUUUACCAUUUAUGCCAUGGCCGGCUCUACAUCACUAUAAAUACAGAAUCAGGGGCAGACAGAUGCACUAAGUCCCAGUUAUGUGCGGGGUCCAAGGAUGAUCUGAACCACAAGAGUCUAUUGUACCAUGCGGGGUCCAAGGAUGAUCUGAACCACAAGAGUCUAUUGUACCAACCUUACCUGCAUUUCUGCAACAGGCUGUUUUAACAACUUCAUUUCCAUUACAAAAUAAGCAGUAAAUCACACAAAUUUAGACAACUAAAAUCUACUCCCUCCGUUUCAAUUUAUUUGUCUUAUUUACCUUUUCAGUACACCAACAACAUUCUCAUUGAAAUUCUACAAGUGCAGGCAAUCUGCGGAGGGUAGAGCGUACGCAAAUCGUACCGUCAGCGAAAAGAAUGUAUGUUUCUUCUAUUUUAUAACUCCUUAAUUUCACUAUGACAUUCCACCUGAUGUUUAAAGCUACAAUUUUAGGUAUAAGGAUUUAUUCUGCAAAUCUACCUAUCUACCUGAUAUGUUUAAAGCAACAUUUUUAGGUUUAAGGAUUUAUUCUACGUAUUUUUAAUUUAAGACGACAUGAUUCAAAAGUCAAUCUUUACUUUAUUAAACUUCUUGCAAAUCCACCUGAUAUGUUUAAAGCAACAUUUUUAGGUUUAAAGAUUUAUUCUACGUAUCUUUAAUUUAAGACGACAAGAUUCAAAAGUCAAUCUUUACUUUGUUAAACUUGGUGCAAAUCAAAAUCAAACAAACAAAUUGAAACAGAUUGAGUAAUUAACUCACCAUUGGUUGAAAAUACCCAUUUGUGACACUGUAAAUAAGAAAAAAAAAAAUGAGACCAAAAAAAAUGAUAAAAUUCAUGAAAAAACUUAGUAAUUCAAUUGAUUGACUACCUGAAUUUUACCUUGUUGUUGGUGAAUUUUUGAUUCUCCACCUUAUAAUCUCCUACCCUUUUCCUCUUUCCCCCUUUCCCUAACCCCCAAAAAAAAAAAAAAAAAAAAAACAUACUUUUAAGUGCAAAGAUUGAAACUUUAAGAACAAAAACAAAUAAAAUGGGGGAAACAAACAGAAUAUAAAAUUCUCUAAUCUUUAUCACAUUUACAUUUUUUAAAGUGUAGAAAUUGAAAAUUUGAGAACCAAAACAAAAAAGGGAAAAAUGAUAUUAAGAUGUUAAAUUCCCUUAUUUUCCAUUUUAAUUGAUCCUCUUACUAAAAACAUUUUAGUUAAUCACUUACUAAAUUAAAAUUGAAUUAAUUAAUUUUUUCUCCAUUUUAGUUUUACAAUUAAUAAUAUACAUUAAAUAUGAGCAAUUACAAUUCAAUGUUCAUUUUUAUGCCCAAUUAAUGUCAUUAAUAUAGAUAAAACAUAAAAUAGUGAAGUUCAUCAUUCAAUUUAUGAUUUCUUAUUACCGUGCAAAAUAAAAUGUGAGAGAAAAAUGAAAGGGCAUUAAAACGUAUAACACAAAUUAUAUAACAUGCAUGAUUUUUGACUCAAUGAUAUCGUAGUCUAAGAGACAAAUUAUAAGGUUUGUUGAACCAGAGAGAAUAAUACGUUGCACGAGUUUAAAUCGUGACAAACAUGAUAUUAAAAAGCCAAACUCUCUUUUGAGAUUUAUUCUAUAAAAAUAUAUGUUUUACAACAUUAAAAAAUAAAACAUAAAAUUUAAUGUAUUUUUGUUUGUUUGUAAUAUUUCAAUACUAUUUAAUAUUAAAUAUCAUUGUAGAUGUAUAAAAUGUCAAUUGAUAUAUUGUACUAGUAAAAAACAUGGUCCACUGACCCUAUGCUGAAUAUAUAGCUAGCUAAUAACAUGAUGGCUUUGCAAUACUAGUGUCUAAAACUACAUAUAAUACUUUACUAUAAAAAAAAUAUUUAACUAUUAAUAUGUGUGCUAUAAUUCAAAAUACAUGUACACUCAAUUUAUUUGUCUGGUUGACUUUAACUGAACACAUACUUUAAAAAUUCAUAAAUGAUAAAAUAAUAUUACUAUAUUAUUCUUUAAAUAUAGUAAAAAAAACCACUCCCUCCGUUUAAAAAAGAAUUAUUUACUUUCCUUUUUAGUCUGUUUAAAAAAUGUGAAAAGAAUUAUCUACUUUCCUUUUUAGAACAAAAACAGUGACCUAUUUUCUUUUUUGGCAAUACUUUAAUUUCAACUUUUCACAUGACAUCUUUAGAACCACAAGAUUAAAGAACAUUUUGGUACAUUUGACACAAUUUUAAUUUAAGGCCACAAGAUUCAAAAGUCUUUUUUAUUUUUUUAAAUUUUGUGUCAAGUCAAAAUAAAUUAUUAUUUUUUUAAACGGAGGGAGUACAAUUUUAGCACGUUGAUGAUUCAAUGGAUGUCUCCAAGGAUGAUUGGACGGUGAUCGUUAGUUCAAGACUUCAUUUUUGGCAACGAAAUUGAAAAUGUAAUGAUUGGACGGUGCUUUAGAUUCAGGUAAUUAGUUUUUGAUGGCUAUUAUGAUGAAAUGAUACUCGCCUUCAGAUAAUAGGCAAUUGGGCUUUAAACGAAAUAGAGCCCAUGUGGAAUUGGGCUUUAAACGAAUUAGAGCCCAUAGUUGAGGACUCAUUUUCCUCAUAAUCCAAAAUCCCUAUUCUCAAACAUUCUUCCUUAAACUUGGAAUCAAUUUUUGAAGCUAACAAUUUUAAACUGGUAAUUCUCUCUCUUUCUUUUUUUAUUAAUAAUUUUAUUUGGCCUAAAAUUCAUUUGAUUCAAAUGAAAAAAAAUAAUUAAAGAUUGAAUUUUUAUGAACAUAUUUGGAUGAAAAAGUAGUUUUAUCUUUCAAUUUUUUUAAAUAUUCCAUUUGAAAAAUUAAGGAAGAGAUUAAAGAAUUUAUACUCUUAGCUAAGAAUUAGGUUUCUGUGUUUGUAAGUUCUUUUUUGAGAUAAAGCAUCCAAAUAUACCCCCUCGAAUUAGUGUCAAAGUUGUUCCAACACACUCCAAAUUCACGAGACACUCCAAUUUUAGUAUAUUUUGUCGUCCUUUUGUGCUGACAUGACAGUUUUAUUGAAAAAUGGGUACACAUUAAAUGUGUCAUGUCAGAAAAUAAAAGCUGAUGAAAGAUGUCACAUCAACACAAAAGAGUGACAAAAAUAUGCUAAAAUUGAGUUAAGGAGUUUAAUAGGACCCUCGUGUAGUUGGAGUGUGUCGUAGCAAAUUUGAUUAUAGUUCAGGGGCAUAUUAGAUGCUAACUGCAGUGUCUAGGCCAGUUUGGAGUGUGUCGUAGUAAAUUUGAUCAUAGUUCGGGGGCGUACUAGAUCCUAACUGUGGUGUCUAGGCCAGUUUUUGUCACCUUCCACACGUGGAAAGAGAAGCUUAUUUUCCAUAUAUAGUUACUAUCUUCUUUAUGGUAUAAUGAUUUAUAUAGUAAUUAAUUGGGUGCACACAAGCCGGCUCAGACGUCAGUGUUUUAUAAAAAAAUAUAUUAAAAGAAUAAUUUAAAAUUCAUUUACCAAGUUAUAUAGCUGGGAUUCAAUUUUUCACCACACAGUGAAUGAUGGAACUUAAAAGGCGUAAAUAUUUAUCUGCAUUGAGUGUUUAAUUACAUCAAGUUAUAUAAAUAUUUCUAUUUUCUUUGAUCCAUAUUGUUUAAGUUAUCCAUUUUUCAGGUGAAAGUUCUUUGGUUUUUGCUCAAUGUGAACUUAAAUCUGAUUUUCAUAUGCUUAUUUGCCUG
RNAcentral lists this long non-coding RNA (44233 nucleotides) under Capsicum annuum. Its description in RNAcentral is "long non-coding RNA (CANN_LNC007408)". Lineage: Eukaryota; Viridiplantae; Streptophyta; Magnoliopsida; Solanales; Solanaceae. The record is from RNAcentral.